CGUAGGGUUCAUGUGCUGCAGCCUCGCCUACCAAACACCACUGCACCGAAAGUCAUCUUUUUCCUUCAGCAUCACAUAUCCCUCUCUCGCUUGCGAGCUUAUUUGUAACGCAGCCCCUUCUGUGAUGUGUGAGCGUAUCUUCAUCUGGCCUUUAGAAUACCAAGAGAAAGUGAAACCGAGGCUGUGCGGUAGGCAUGUCUGCCGCUGACUUCGAGGCCGCCGUGGCGUACGUGCGCUCCCUGCCCAAGGACGGUCCAGUGCAGCUGGACAACGCCGCCAAGCUUCAGUUUUACUCCCUGUACAAGCAGGCGACGGAGGGUGACGUGACAGGCAACCAGCCGUGGGCCGUGCAGGUCGAGGCGCGUGCCAAGUGGGAUGCGUGGAACUCUCGCAAGGGCAUGCGGUCGGAGGACGCCAAGGCGGCGUACGUGCAGCGUCUCGUGACGCUGCUCAGGUCGCAGGGAAUCGAGUGGAAGCCUGGCGCGAAGGUGCAGAGCAAGCUCUGAGCGCCUAUAUGGCUGAACGGCGAAGACGACGAAGAACCCCUCCCCCAACGAGAGAGAUGGCGCCAGAGUCGGCUCGUGCUGUUUCCUUUUUACGUCUUGGUAUUUAUCGACCGUUUCCGUUUUUUUGUGCACCCUUCUCUCCCGCUCCGCAGUCCUGAAUCUCUGGCAAGUGAAGAGCGACCCCGUUAUAUCUUUUUUUGCUUCUUGCCAUCACACCUCGGAUGGAUGGUGAUAUCGUUGCUUGCGCGUCCCCUCUCUAUGUGUGCGGCAGCGCUUGUUGGAGUCACAAGGAGGUGGGUGCGCUCAUGUGGCUGUGCCCGCGUGUCUGAGCUUGGGAUGACCGUCUCGUGCGCGCUUGCACUUGUGCGUGUGCUCGUCUCAGAGCGCGUGGCGAUUGUGCAUAUCACAGCAAACUUCUAC
This 926-nucleotide unclassified non-coding RNA is filed under the name Leishmania donovani. Its description in RNAcentral is "gene:LdHU3.17.0980(CDS-product:Acyl_CoA_binding_p rotein_putative)". Lineage: Eukaryota; Euglenozoa; Kinetoplastea; Trypanosomatida; Trypanosomatidae. The record is from RNAcentral.